GGGUUGUGAGGUUAAGCGACUAAGCGUACACGGUGGAUGCCCUGGCAGUCAGAGGCGAUGAAGGACGUGCUAAUCUGCGAUAAGCGUCGGUAAGGUGAUAUGAACCGUUAUAACCGGCGAUUUCCGAAUGGGGAAACCCAGUGUGAUUCGUCACACUAUCAUUAACUGAAUCCAUAGGUUAAUGAGGCGAACCGGGGGAACUGAAACAUCUAAGUACCCCGAGGAAAAGAAAUCAACCGAGAUUCCCCCAGUAGCGGCGAGCGAACGGGGAGCAGCCCAGAGCCUGAAUCAGUGUGUGUGUUAGUGGAAGCGUCUGGAAAGGCGCGCGAUACAGGGUGACAGCCCCGUACACAAAAAUGCACAUGCUGUGAGCUCGAUGAGUAGGGCGGGACACGUGGUAUCCUGUCUGAAUAUGGGGGGACCAUCCUCCAAGGCUAAAUACUCCUGACUGACCGAUAGUGAACCAGUACCGUGAGGGAAAGGCGAAAAGAACCCCGGCGAGGGGAGUGAAAAAGAACCUGAAACCGUGUACGUACAAGCAGUGGGAGCCUCUUAAUGGGGUGACUGCGUACCUUUUGUAUAAUGGGUCAGCGACUUAUAUUCUGUAGCAAGGUUAACCGAAUAGGGGAGCCGAAGGGAAACCGAGUCUUAACUGGGCGUUAAGUUGCAGGGUAUAGACCCGAAACCCGGUGAUCUAGCCAUGGGCAGGUUGAAGGUUGGGUAACACUAACUGGAGGACCGAACCGACUAAUGUUGAAAAAUUAGCGGAUGACUUGUGGCUGGGGGUGAAAGGCCAAUCAAACCGGGAGAUAGCUGGUUCUCCCCGAAAGCUAUUUAGGUAGCGCCUCGUGAAUUCAUCUCCGGGGGUAGAGCACUGUUUCGGCAAGGGGGUCAUCCCGACUUACCAACCCGAUGCAAACUGCGAAUACCGGAGAAUGUUAUCACGGGAGACACACGGCGGGUGCUAACGUCCGUCGUGAAGAGGGAAACAACCCAGACCGCCAGCUAAGGUCCCAAAGUCAUGGUUAAGUGGGAAACGAUGUGGGAAGGCCCAGACAGCCAGGAUGUUGGCUUAGAAGCAGCCAUCAUUUAAAGAAAGCGUAAUAGCUCACUGGUCGAGUCGGCCUGCGCGGAAGAUGUAACGGGGCUAAACCAUGCACCGAAGCUGCGGCAGCGACACUAUGUGUUGUUGGGUAGGGGAGCGUUCUGUAAGCCUGCGAAGGUGUACUGUGAGGUAUGCUGGAGGUAUCAGAAGUGCGAAUGCUGACAUAAGUAACGAUAAAGCGGGUGAAAAGCCCGCUCGCCGGAAGACCAAGGGUUCCUGUCCAACGUUAAUCGGGGCAGGGUGAGUCGACCCCUAAGGCGAGGCCGAAAGGCGUAGUCGAUGGGAAACAGGUUAAUAUUCCUGUACUUGGUGUUACUGCGAAGGGGGGACGGAGAAGGCUAUGUUGGCCGGGCGACGGUUGUCCCGGUUUAAGCGUGUAGGCUGGUUUUCCAGGCAAAUCCGGAAAAUCAAGGCUGAGGCGUGAUGACGAGGCACUACGGUGCUGAAGCAACAAAUGCCCUGCUUCCAGGAAAAGCCUCUAAGCAUCAGGUAACAUCAAAUCGUACCCCAAACCGACACAGGUGGUCAGGUAGAGAAUACCAAGGCGCUUGAGAGAACUCGGGUGAAGGAACUAGGCAAAAUGGUGCCGUAACUUCGGGAGAAGGCACGCUGAUAUGUAGGUGAAGUCCCUUGCGGAUGGAGCUGAAAUCAGUCGAAGAUACCAGCUGGCUGCAACUGUUUAUUAAAAACACAGCACUGUGCAAACACGAAAGUGGACGUAUACGGUGUGACGCCUGCCCGGUGCCGGAAGGUUAAUUGAUGGGGUUAGCGGUAACGCGAAGCUCUUGAUCGAAGCCCCGGUAAACGGCGGCCGUAACUAUAACGGUCCUAAGGUAGCGAAAUUCCUUGUCGGGUAAGUUCCGACCUGCACGAAUGGCGUAAUGAUGGCCAGGCUGUCUCCACCCGAGACUCAGUGAAAUUGAACUCGCUGUGAAGAUGCAGUGUACCCGCGGCAAGACGGAAAGACCCCGUGAACCUUUACUAUAGCUUGACACUGAACAUUGAGCCUUGAUGUGUAGGAUAGGUGGGAGGCUUUGAAGUGUGGACGCCAGUCUGCAUGGAGCCGACCUUGAAAUACCACCCUUUAAUGUUUGAUGUUCUAACGUUGGCCCCUAAUCGGGGUUGCGGACAGUGUCUGGUGGGUAGUUUGACUGGGGCGGUCUCCUCCUAAAGAGUAACGGAGGAGCACGAAGGUUGGCUAAUCCUGGUCGGACAUCAGGAGGUUAGUGCAAUGGCAUAAGCCAGCUUGACUGCGAGCGUGACGGCGCGAGCAGGUGCGAAAGCAGGUCAUAGUGAUCCGGUGGUUCUGAAUGGAAGGGCCAUCGCUCAACGGAUAAAAGGUACUCCGGGGAUAACAGGCUGAUACCGCCCAAGAGUUCAUAUCGACGGCGGUGUUUGGCACCUCGAUGUCGGCUCAUCACAUCCUGGGGCUGAAGUAGGUCCCAAGGGUAUGGCUGUUCGCCAUUUAAAGUGGUACGCGAGCUGGGUUUAGAACGUCGUGAGACAGUUCGGUCCCUAUCUGCCGUGGGCGCUGGAGAACUGAGGGGGGCUGCUCCUAGUACGAGAGGACCGGAGUGGACGCAUCACUGGUGUUCGGGUUGUCAUGCCAAUGGCACUGCCCGGUAGCUAAAUGCGGAAGAGAUAAGUGCUGAAAGCAUCUAAGCACGAAACUUGCCCCGAGAUGAGUUCUCCCUGACUCCCUGAGAGUCCUGAAGGAACGUUGAAGACGACGACGUUGAUAGGCCGGGUGUGUAAGCGCAGCGAUGCGUUGAGCUAACCGGUACUAAUGAACCGUGAGGCUUAACCUUACAACGCCGAAGCUGUU
This 2930-nucleotide ribosomal RNA is filed under the name Bacteroides thetaiotaomicron. Its description in RNAcentral is "23S ribosomal RNA". It matches the Rfam family "Bacterial large subunit ribosomal RNA". The record is from RNAcentral. Lineage: Bacteria; Pseudomonadati; Bacteroidota; Bacteroidia; Bacteroidales; Bacteroidaceae.